This 484-nucleotide ribosomal RNA is filed under the name uncultured bacterium. RNAcentral's name for it is "partial 16S ribosomal RNA". It matches the Rfam family "Bacterial small subunit ribosomal RNA", at positions 30 to 507 of the family's 1533-position model. The record is from RNAcentral.
AUUGAACGCUGGCGGCAGGCCUAACACAUGCAAGUCGAGCGGAUGAAGGGAGCUUGCUCCUGGAUUCAGCGGCGGACGGGUGAGUAAUGCCUAGGAAUCUGCCUGGUCGUGGGGGAUAACGUCCGGAAACGGGCGCUAAUACCGCAUCCGUCCUGAGGGAGAAAGUGGGGGAUCUUCGGACCUCACGCUAUCAGAUGAGCCUAGGUCGGAUUAGCUAGUUGGUGGGGUAAAGGCCUACCAAGGCGACGAUCCGUAACUGGUCUGAGAGGAUGAUCAGUCACACUGGAACUGAGACACGGUCCAGACUCCUACGGGAGGCAGCAGUGGGGAAUAUUGGACAAUGGGCGAAAGCCUGAUCCAGCCAUGCCGCGUGUGUGAAGAAGGUCUUCGGAUUGUAAAGCACUUUAAGUUGGGAGGAAGGACAGUAAGUUAAUACCUUGCUGUUUUGACGUUACCAACAGAAUAAGCACCGGCUAACUUCGUG